AAAUUGCGAUAUUUAUUGUGAACUGCAGAAUUAGUGAAUCAUCGAGUCUUUGAACGCAUCUUGCGCCUUGGGGCUAUUCCCCAAGGCAUGCCUGUUUGAGGGUUAUUAAAUACCUCACACCCUGAUGGUGGAAACGCUGUUGCGUGGUUGUGGUCUGUGGUGUUGCUGGGUUUACCCGGCUUCGCUGAAAUUUACAAGUGAUUUGGCUUGGUCGAGACACAAUGGCGUUAUAAUUUAUUAUUCGCUGUAAACUCGUCCCCGUUCACUAUGAAAACCCCCCCGUCCCUUAAUUUUAACCUCAAAUCAGGUAGGACUACCCGCUGAACUUAA
Molecule: unclassified non-coding RNA, 330 nt
Filed under: uncultured fungus
Lineage: Eukaryota; Fungi
Description: sequence contains ITS1
Rfam family: 5.8S ribosomal RNA (bases 1-105)
Source: RNAcentral